This is a long non-coding RNA of Octopus sinensis (East Asian common octopus), 147 nucleotides long. RefSeq lists it as uncharacterized. The record is from RefSeq and is a predicted model, not a curated record. NCBI's taxonomy places the organism in Eukaryota, Metazoa, Mollusca, Cephalopoda, Octopoda, Octopodidae. The transcript has 3 exons.
UUUCAAGCUAUGCACAGCACCAAAUCUUGCUGCCACACAUAUGGCCUUCCAGCAGCAACCCUCUCCAGCUAGGGAUUGACCACAGUUUCCAGUAGCUUCACAUAGCUGUCUGACCUGAGCCUAAUGUCCUGUUCAAAAGUGUGGGGU